This 490-nucleotide ribosomal RNA is filed under the name uncultured bacterium. RNAcentral describes it as "partial 16S ribosomal RNA". It matches the Rfam family "Bacterial small subunit ribosomal RNA", at positions 30 to 507 of the family's 1533-position model. The record is from RNAcentral.
AUUGAACGCUGGCGGCAGGCCUAACACAUGCAAGUCGAACGGUAACAGGUAGAAGCUUGCUUCUUUGCUGACGAGUGGCGGACGGGUGAGUAAUGUCUGGGAAACUGCCUGAUGGAGGGGGAUAACUACUGGAAACGGUAGCUAAUACCGCAUAAUGUCGCAAGACCAAAGAGGGGGACCUUCGGGCCUCUUGCCAUCGGAUGUGCCCAGAUGGGAUUAGCUAGUAGGUGGGGUAACGGCUCACCUAGGCGACGAUCCCUAGCUGGUCUGAGAGGAUGACCAGCCACACUGGAACUGAGACACGGUCCAGACUCCUACGGGAGGCAGCAGUGGGGAAUAUUGCACAAUGGGCGCAAGCCUGAUGCAGCUAUGCCGCGUGUAUGAAGAAGGCCUUCGGGUUGUAAAGUACUUUCAGCGGGGAGGAAGGGAGUAAAGUUAAUACCUUUGCUCAUUGACGUUACCCGCAGAAGAAGCACCGGCUAACUCCGUG